RNAcentral lists this transfer RNA (64 nucleotides) under Parvasolenaia rivularis. RNAcentral's name for it is "Solenaia rivularis tRNA-Arg". The record is from RNAcentral. Lineage: Eukaryota; Metazoa; Mollusca; Bivalvia; Unionida; Unionidae.
AAACAAGAAACUCUAGUGUUAUGGUUUCGGCCCAUAAAAAGGCACAAGUUGUGCCCUUGUUUUC